CUAACUAAGCUCUAUCGUGGUUCUUCCGGUCUUUCGGGACCGGAAGCUAAGAGGGAAUUCGGUGAGCGGACGUGAUCCGCAAUGCCGGAGCUGCCCCCGCAACUGUAAGCGGCGAGCCUUGUCCAUUGAUGCCACUGCGGCGUGAGCCGUGGGAAGGCGGAUGCGGCUGUGACCCGUGAGCCAGGAGACCUGCCCCGAUCAUAGUACGUCC
Molecule: non-coding RNA, 211 nt
Filed under: Afipia sp.
Lineage: Bacteria; Pseudomonadati; Pseudomonadota; Alphaproteobacteria; Hyphomicrobiales; Nitrobacteraceae
Source: RNAcentral